Molecule: ribosomal RNA, 2903 nt
Filed under: Klebsiella pneumoniae
Lineage: Bacteria; Pseudomonadati; Pseudomonadota; Gammaproteobacteria; Enterobacterales; Enterobacteriaceae
Description: 23S ribosomal RNA
Rfam family: Bacterial large subunit ribosomal RNA
Source: RNAcentral
GGUUAAGCGACUAAGCGUACACGGUGGAUGCCCUGGCAGUCAGAGGCGAUGAAGGACGUGCUAAUCUGCGAAAAGCGUCGGUAAGGUGAUAUGAACCGUUAUAACCGGCGAUGUCCGAAUGGGGAAACCCAGUGCAAUUCGUUGCACUAUCGUUAACUGAAUACAUAGGUUAACGAGGCGAACCGGGGGAACUGAAACAUCUAAGUACCCCGAGGAAAAGAAAUCAACCGAGAUUCCCCCAGUAGCGGCGAGCGAACGGGGAGCAGCCCAGAGUCUGAAUCAGCUUGUGUGUUAGUGGAACGGUCUGGAAAGUCCGACGGUACAGGGUGAUAGUCCCGUACACCAAAAUGCACAGGCUGUGAACUCGAAGAGUAGGGCGGGACACGUGGUAUCCUGUCUGAAUAUGGGGGGACCAUCCUCCAAGGCUAAAUACUCCUGACUGACCGAUAGUGAACCAGUACCGUGAGGGAAAGGCGAAAAGAACCCCGGCGAGGGGAGUGAAAAAGAACCUGAAACCGUGUACGUACAAGCAGUGGGAGCACCUUCGGGUGUGACUGCGUACCUUUUGUAUAAUGGGUCAGCGACUUAUAUUCUGUAGCAAGGUUAACCGUAUAGGGGAGCCGCAGGGAAACCGAGUCUUAACUGGGCGUUAAGUUGCAGGGUAUAGACCCGAAACCCGGUGAUCUAGCCAUGGGCAGGUUGAAGGUUGGGUAACACUAACUGGAGGACCGAACCGACUAAUGUUGAAAAAUUAGCGGAUGACUUGUGGCUGGGGGUGAAAGGCCAAUCAAACCGGGAGAUAGCUGGUUCUCCCCGAAAGCUAUUUAGGUAGCGCCUCGUGAACUCAUCUUCGGGGGUAGAGCACUGUUUCGGCUAGGGGGUCAUCCCGACUUACCAACCCGAUGCAAACUACGAAUACCGAAGAAUGUUAUCACGGGAGACACACGGCGGGUGCUAACGUCCGUCGUGAAGAGGGAAACAACCCAGACCGCCAGCUAAGGUCCCAAAGUCAUGGUUAAGUGGGAAACGAUGUGGGAAGGCACAGACAGCCAGGAUGUUGGCUUAGAAGCAGCCAUCAUUUAAAGAAAGCGUAAUAGCUCACUGGUCGAGUCGGCCUGCGCGGAAGAUGUAACGGGGCUAAACCAUGCACCGAAGCUGCGGCAGCGACACUAUGUGUUGUUGGGUAGGGGAGCGUUCUGUAAGCCUGCGAAGGUGUGCUGUGAGGCAUGCUGGAGGUAUCAGAAGUGCGAAUGCUGACAUAAGUAACGAUAAAGCGGGUGAAAAGCCCGCUCGCCGGAAGACCAAGGGUUCCUGUCCAACGUUAAUCGGGGCAGGGUGAGUCGACCCCUAAGGCGAGGCCGAAAGGCGUAGUCGAUGGGAAACAGGUUAAUAUUCCUGUACUUGGUGUUACUGCGAAGGGGGGGACGGAGAAGGCUAUGUUAGCCGGGCGACGGUUGUCCCGGUUUAAGCAUGUAGGCUGGUUAUCCAGGCAAAUCCGGAUAAUCAAGGCUGAGGUGUGAUGACGAGGCACUACGGUGCUGAAGUAACAAAUGCCCUGCUUCCAGGAAAAGCCUCUAAGCAUCAGGUAACAUCAAAUCGUACCCCAAACCGACACAGGUGGUCAGGUAGAGAAUACCAAGGCGCUUGAGAGAACUCGGGUGAAGGAACUAGGCAAAAUGGUGCCGUAACUUCGGGAGAAGGCACGCUGGUGUGUAGGUGAAGUCCCUGCGGAUGGAGCUGAGACCAGUCGAAGAUACCAGCUGGCUGCAACUGUUUAUUAAAAACACAGCACUGUGCAAACACGAAAGUGGACGUAUACGGUGUGACGCCUGCCCGGUGCCGGAAGGUUAAUUGAUGGGGUUAUCCGUAAGGAGAAGCUCUUGAUCGAAGCCCCGGUAAACGGCGGCCGUAACUAUAACGGUCCUAAGGUAGCGAAAUUCCUUGUCGGGUAAGUUCCGACCUGCACGAAUGGCGUAAUGAUGGCCAGGCUGUCUCCACCCGAGACUCAGUGAAAUUGAACUCGCUGUGAAGAUGCAGUGUACCCGCGGCAAGACGGAAAGACCCCGUGAACCUUUACUAUAGCUUGACACUGAACAUUGAGCCUUGAUGUGUAGGAUAGGUGGGAGGCUUUGAAGCGUGGACGCCAGUCUGCGUGGAGCCAACCUUGAAAUACCACCCUUUAAUGUUUGAUGUUCUAACGUUGGCCCCUUACCGGGGUUGCGGACAGUGUCUGGUGGGUAGUUUGACUGGGGCGGUCUCCUCCCAAAGCGUAACGGAGGAGCACGAAGGUUAGCUAAUCCUGGUCGGACAUCAGGAGGUUAGUGCAAUGGCAUAAGCUAGCUUGACUGCGAGCGUGACGGCGCGAGCAGGUGCGAAAGCAGGUCAUAGUGAUCCGGUGGUUCUGAAUGGAAGGGCCAUCGCUCAACGGAUAAAAGGUACUCCGGGGAUAACAGGCUGAUACCGCCCAAGAGUUCAUAUCGACGGCGGUGUUUGGCACCUCGAUGUCGGCUCAUCACAUCCUGGGGCUGAAGUAGGUCCCAAGGGUAUGGCUGUUCGCCAUUUAAAGUGGUACGCGAGCUGGGUUUAGAACGUCGUGAGACAGUUCGGUCCCUAUCUGCCGUGGGCGCUGGAGAAUUGAGGGGGGCUGCUCCUAGUACGAGAGGACCGGAGUGGACGCAUCACUGGUGUUCGGGUUGUCAUGCCAAUGGCACUGCCCGGUAGCUAAAUGCGGAAGAGAUAAGUGCUGAAAGCAUCUAAGCACGAAACUUGCCCCGAGAUGAGUUCUCCCUGAGACUUUAAGUCUCCUGAAGGAACGUUAAAGACGAUGACGUUGAUAGGCCGGGUGUGUAAGCGCAGCGAUGCGUUGAGCUAACCGGUACUAAUGAACCGUGAGGCUUAACCUU